RNAcentral lists this ribosomal RNA (274 nucleotides) under uncultured bacterium. RNAcentral describes it as "partial 16S ribosomal RNA". It matches the Rfam family "Bacterial small subunit ribosomal RNA", at positions 523 to 796 of the family's 1533-position model. The record is from RNAcentral.
AUACGGAGGAUGCAAGCGUUAUUCGGAAUCACUGGGCGUAAAGGACGCGUAGGCGGGUUGGCAAGUCAGAUGUGAAAUCCUACAGCUUAACUGUAGAACUGCAUUUGAAACUGCUAACCUAGAGUAUGGGAGGGGGAGAUGGAAUUAGUGGUGUAGGGGUAAAAUCCGUAGAUAUCACUAGGAAUACCGAAAGCGAAGGCGAUCUCCUGGAACAUAACUGACGCUAAGGCGUGAAAGCGUGGGGAGCAAACAGGAUUAGAAACCCCAGUAGUCC